RNAcentral lists this long non-coding RNA (385 nucleotides) under Ornithorhynchus anatinus (platypus). Its description in RNAcentral is "lncRNA (ENSOANG00000042043.1)". The record is from RNAcentral. Lineage: Eukaryota; Metazoa; Chordata; Mammalia; Monotremata; Ornithorhynchidae.
CUUGGCACCUUAGAAAUGUCCCUAUCCUGCUGGAAAGAGGCAAGCUCUUACUUUCACAAAUUGACUGGGAAUUUGUUCAGUGAUAAGAAAUAGCAAAUGAAUCACCAAGCAUUAACUUUGUUUUUAGUCAAGAUGUAUGUGAAUGAACAGAUGUCCACUCAAAUUUUGUUCUCUGAACUGGAUUAUGUACUUCGGAGAAAGCUUGCUGUGUGUGUAUUCCCAGAAGCUGAUUUUUGAGCAUAAAAUAAAUCAACUGGCUUUUUGCUUUGCUUUGUAAUUCCUAAAAUUUAAAAUGGUAAGAAAAUUUUACAGUUUCUAUUGGAAAAAUAUAUUUAGCACAAAGGUAGUUUGAAGUCCAAGUUACUUAUGAUAUUUGUUAAAUUCC